CAGGGACAGGAGCACACACCAUGAUUUCACACAUCCAGCUGAUCUGGCCCCUGGCAUUCUGUGUCGCAGGUAUCAGUGGGGACACCAUCAUGACUCAGUCUCCCCCAGUGCUGUCAGUGGAACUGGGCCAGACUGCAACCAUCACCUGUAAAUCCAGUCAGAUUGCCAGUAGUAAUGUUGAAUGGUUCCAGCAGCGGGAAGGACGGAAACCCUCUCUCCUGAUCUACAAUGCAGCAUCACGAUUCACAGGAGUCUCCAACAGAUUCACCGGGACAGAAGUGUCCAGCACACACUUCACCCUGACAAUCAGCAACGUUCAGAAUGAGGAUGUCGCUGAUUAUUACUGUCAGCAAAGUUACGACUCCCCUCACACGUUCGGUAAAGGAACCAAGCUCAGACUGAGCCAUGACAACUCUCAGCCAAAGCUGACCCUGCUGCCCCCUUCCCCGGAGCAGGUCAAUGCCAAGGGCACUGCCACCCUGGUGUGCCUUGCUAAUCACUUCUAUCCCGAUGAGCUGGAGGUGCAGUGGAAGAAGGACGGUGCAGUCAUUUCGGACGGGGUUCAGACCAGCAACUACCUGCGAGCUUCGGACAGCACCUACAGUGUCAGCAGCCUGCUGACCCUCUCUGGGUCUGACUGGGAGUCCAACGCUCGCUUCUCCUGUGCCCUCACCCACGUGACCCUCCCCUCUCCCCUCAGCAAGAGCAUCAGGAGAUCAGAAUGUGUGUAGAGUGUUGGAGACAGUCCACAGAGGAGACACAACUUUAAAUAGAACAGGGCUGAGCUGGCAGGACAAAGGUCAUUGCCAGCACUGAAUUUCAACUCUCUUCCUUCUCAGGACUGGCUUGGUGACACUUCUGAGGUUCAAGGAUUAAGGCAGGUCAUAGGGAUCAUCAAAAGGAAGCUUUAACUCUGUAUCAAACCCCAUGCUGACCCUGUUCUGGGAGUGUUUUAUGGGGACAGUGAUGACUUGUGAUGCCAAGUAAAACUUCUCGAAGAUGCUGAAAACUGUCAGUUGUACAAAACAAUGUGAACCUCUAAAAUCUCUGCUUCAGUAAACCAGAUCUCCUUCCUGCUCGGCCGUCAGUUCGAAUUUAAGCUUCUGUCACUACUGAAAGGGACAGGAUUCUCAGGUUAUUGAGAAAAUCUCCACAAGUGUUUUCCUCAAACUCCAUUGUAGAUGUGAAUUUGUGCAGCUUCCUCUGUCUAGACUGUCAAUUGCAGUCUGUUUUCUGUCAAGGUCAAUCUGGAAAAGGAAAUAAAGAUCAAGAAGAUUUAGUCUCUUUCUCGUGUGUGCUUUGGAAAUGGCCAGAGCUACUGGGAAUCCUAUAUUGAUGAAUAUGACCAGCAGCAUCUUGUUACUCAGAAU
Molecule: non-coding RNA, 1370 nt
Organism: Hemiscyllium ocellatum (epaulette shark)
Lineage: Eukaryota; Metazoa; Chordata; Chondrichthyes; Orectolobiformes; Hemiscylliidae
Source: the annotation of a RefSeq genome assembly